CGAGCGAGCGGUUUCAAUGAAGUUUUCGGAUGGAUUUGAAAUUGACUUAGCGGCGGACGGGUGAGUAACGCGUGGGUAACCUGCCUUACACUGGGGGAUAACAGUUAGAAAUGACUGCUAAUACCGCAUAAGCGCACAGGGCCGCAUGGUCUGGUGUGAAAAACUCCGGUGGUGUAAGAUGGACCCGCGUCUGAUUAGGUAGUUGGUGGGGUAACGGCCCACCAAGCCGACGAUCAGUAGCCGACCUGAGAGGGUGACCGGCCACAUUGGGACUGAGACACGGCCCAAACUCCUACGGGAGGCAGCAGUAGGGAAUAUUGGACAAUGGGCGAAAGCCUGAUCCAGCGACGCCGCGUGAGUGAAGAAGUAUUUCGGUAUGUAAAGCUCUAUCAGCAGGGAAGAAAAUGACGGUACCUGACUAAGAAGCCCCGGCUAACUACGUGCCAGCAGCCGCGGUAAUACGUAGGGGGCAAGCGUUAUCCGGAUUUACUGGGUGU
This 497-nucleotide ribosomal RNA is filed under the name uncultured bacterium. RNAcentral describes it as "bacterial SSU rRNA". It matches the Rfam family "Bacterial small subunit ribosomal RNA", at positions 63 to 561 of the family's 1533-position model. The record is from RNAcentral.